Molecule: long non-coding RNA, 615 nt
Filed under: Vigna radiata
Lineage: Eukaryota; Viridiplantae; Streptophyta; Magnoliopsida; Fabales; Fabaceae
Description: long non-coding RNA (VRAD_LNC012522)
Source: RNAcentral
UUAGCCACGAUACAAGCCUAAUAAAGCCCACACAGAUUGAACAAUGAUUGCUCAAAUUUUCAUAAAGCUUAAUUUUGCGAUAAGGUGAAUUGACAUUCAAUAUGUCGUAAAAAAAAAAGGUUUAAAAAUGAAAAAAAAAAGAAAACAUGAUAUCUAGGGAAGAGGGAAUCACCCUGCCAUUCAACCAGAAGCAUGCGAAAGAAAAUAAAACCCAUUGGGGGGCAUCCUUUUAGCCGAUCCUUUUCAUGCCCACUACCUCUUCCAAACUGAACCCCUUGCCGAAGAAAAAUUGGGGCAACUUUGUGAACCUCACACGAAUUUUUUUCAUCAACCCAUACCACGAUAAAAAAAACUGGGGCAGCUUUGUGAAUCUCACACAAAAUUUCAUCAAUCCAUAAUCCAUUGACUGGGGCAACUUUGCAAGUCUCACUUGAUUUUGUGCCACCCUAAUUUUCAUGGAUCCAAACCCCAACUCAUUUUCCUAAACACAAAAUCGGGGCAAAAUUUUUGAUAUAUUGUGUUUCGUCUUGACACUCACAUAUUACGUCUCUUUUGAGGAUUGAAGUACCCAUGUGCUGGUCCCAGUCUUCCAAACCCUUCUAAACAUCUCUCAUG